GCCAUUGUAGCUCAGUCGGUAGAGCACCCCCAUGGUAAGGGGGAGGUCUCCGGUUCGAUCCCGGACAAUGGCUCAA
Molecule: transfer RNA, 76 nt
Filed under: Candidatus Vogelbacteria bacterium RIFOXYD1_FULL_44_32
Lineage: Bacteria; Candidatus Vogeliibacteriota
Description: tRNA-Thr
Rfam family: tRNA
About the family: Transfer RNA (tRNA) molecules are approximately 80 nucleotides in length. Their secondary structure includes four short double-helical elements and three loops (D, anti-codon, and T loops).
Source: RNAcentral